This 97-nucleotide microRNA precursor is filed under the name Equus caballus (horse). RNAcentral's name for it is "mir-544 microRNA precursor family". It matches the Rfam family "mir-544 microRNA precursor family". Lineage: Eukaryota; Metazoa; Chordata; Mammalia; Perissodactyla; Equidae. The record is from Rfam by way of RNAcentral.
AUCCCCUGGAGAGCUUGUUAAAAUGCAGAUUCUGAUUCAGCAGGUCGGGGGGUGGCCUGGGACUCUGCAUUUCUGACAAGCUCCCAGUUGAUGCCAA